AAAAAUAGGAAACGGAAUGCCAAUGGCUGGUCUUACAUCCAACUCCUAACACACACAAAAAGAUUAUCAAACAGACAAGCUAAUAGGGAGUCUGGAACUCGAACCUAAUAGCCGUCAAGCAAACACACACAAAAAGAAAAGGUCGAAAAACAAAAAGGGUGCCCGGAGAGAUCUCGCACGAUCUCCUGCCUACGUACCUCAUCUGGUAUGAGGAUCAGGGCAACGUAGUUCCCCUUAGCAGGGAAGAAAUUUCUAUCAUAAC
RNAcentral lists this long non-coding RNA (262 nucleotides) under Lathyrus oleraceus (garden pea). RNAcentral's name for it is "Pisum sativum (pea) long non-coding RNA (PSAT_LNC012500)". Lineage: Eukaryota; Viridiplantae; Streptophyta; Magnoliopsida; Fabales; Fabaceae. The record is from RNAcentral.